GGGGGCGUAGCUCAGUUGGUAGAGCAAGAGACUCUUAAUCUCUGGGUCGAAGGUUCGAGCCCUUCCGCCCUCA
This 73-nucleotide transfer RNA is filed under the name Blastocatellia bacterium. RNAcentral's name for it is "tRNA-Lys". It matches the Rfam family "tRNA". From Rfam's summary of the family: Transfer RNA (tRNA) molecules are approximately 80 nucleotides in length. Their secondary structure includes four short double-helical elements and three loops (D, anti-codon, and T loops). The record is from RNAcentral. Lineage: Bacteria; Pseudomonadati; Acidobacteriota; Blastocatellia.